Molecule: ribosomal RNA, 357 nt
Filed under: uncultured Eubacterium sp.
Lineage: Bacteria; Bacillati; Bacillota; Clostridia; Eubacteriales; Eubacteriaceae
Description: bacterial SSU rRNA
Rfam family: Bacterial small subunit ribosomal RNA
Source: RNAcentral
GGCUCAGGACGAACGCUGGCGGCGUGCUUAACACAUGCAAGUCGAACGAAGCACUUUAUUUGAUUUCCUUCGGGACUGAUUAUUUUGUGACUGAGUGGCGGACGGGUGAGUAACGCGUGGGUAACCUGCCUUGUACAGGGGGAUAACAGUUGGAAACGGCUGCUAAUACCGCAUAAGCGCACAGCAUCGCAUGAUGCAGUGUGAAAAACUCUGGUGGUAUAAGAUGGACCCGCGUUGGAUUAGCUAGUUGGUGAGGUAACGGCCCACCAAGGCGACGAUCCAUAGCCGACCUGAGAGGGUGACCGGCCACAUUGGGACUGAGACACGGCCCAAACUCCUACGGGAGGCAGCAGUAGG